This 698-nucleotide ribosomal RNA is filed under the name Ophiostoma floccosum. RNAcentral's name for it is "eukaryotic LSU rRNA". It matches the Rfam family "Eukaryotic large subunit ribosomal RNA", at positions 148 to 873 of the family's 3401-position model. The record is from RNAcentral. Lineage: Eukaryota; Fungi; Ascomycota; Sordariomycetes; Ophiostomatales; Ophiostomataceae.
AUUUGGAGAGGAUGCUUCUGGCGCGGCGCCGUCCGAGUUCCUUGGAACAGGACGCCAUAGAGGGUGAGAGCCCCGUACGGGCGGCCGCCUAGCCUUUGUGAAGCUCCUUCGACGAGUCGAGUAGUUUGGGAAUGCUGCUCAAAAUGGGAGGUAAAUUUCUUCUAAAGCUAAAUAUUGGCCAGAGACCGAUAGCGCACAAGUAGAGUGAUCGAAAGAUGAAAAGCACUUUGAAAAGAGGGUUAAAAAGUACGUGAAAUUGUUGAAAGGGAAGCGCCUGUGACCAGACUUGCGACCCGCGGAUCAUCCGGUGUUCUUCACCGGUGCACUCCGCGGGCUGCAGGCCAGCAUCGGUUUUCCUAGGGGGAUAAAGGUCGCGGGAACGUAGCUCUUUCGGGAGUGUUAUAGCCCGUGGCGUCAUGCCUCUGGGGGGACCGAGGACCGCGCUUCGGCAAGGAUGCUGGCGUAAUGGUCACCGGCGACCCGUCUUGAAACACGGACCAAGGAGUCAAGCAUUGGGGCGAGUGUCUGGGUGCCAAACCCGCACGCGAAAUGAAAGUAAACGCAGGUGAGAGCUUCGGCGCAUCACCGACCGAUCCUGAUGUCUUCGGAUGGAUUUGAGUAAGAGCCUUACCGCUUGGACCCGAAAGAUGGUGAACUAUGCCUGUAUAGGGUGAAGCCAGAGGAAACUCUGGUGGAGG